AUCUAUCAUUUGCUUUCAGCAUUCUACGCUUGGUGGCGCUCUCUGUUUCUCAUAUAGACGACAUGUGUUUCCAGAGAAGAACGCGCAUCCUACCCAGUUAAGUAAUCUGAUCAAAUUCUUCGCUUCCAGUCUUCCUACCCCAGAUUCAGAAUGCCGAUGUGCUUGCAACCUAACGGCAAACUGCAGGUAACUGCAUCAAUGUCAACGGUGGAAGCCUGAUGUGAAGAUGUAGACCUGCUCUUGUAGGAAUGAAAUGGCACCCACUGUAAAGACGAGUAAAUUACACGUCGUUAAAGGAGGCAAGCUCCAUGUAAAUCGAAUGCCUGGAUGACAUAUCAUGUUAACAGUAAUUUCUGAAACGCACAUUUCUAUGGGAUGUUUCUGAAACGCAGAAUUGUAAACCAGAUUCCUGUUUCUC
RNAcentral lists this long non-coding RNA (418 nucleotides) under Zea mays. Its description in RNAcentral is "long non-coding RNA (ZMAY_LNC003501)". The record is from RNAcentral. Lineage: Eukaryota; Viridiplantae; Streptophyta; Magnoliopsida; Poales; Poaceae.